This 242-nucleotide ribosomal RNA is filed under the name Klebsiella oxytoca. RNAcentral's name for it is "partial 23S ribosomal RNA". It matches the Rfam family "Bacterial large subunit ribosomal RNA", at positions 2701 to 2925 of the family's 2925-position model. The record is from RNAcentral. Lineage: Bacteria; Pseudomonadati; Pseudomonadota; Gammaproteobacteria; Enterobacterales; Enterobacteriaceae.
ACGCAUCACUGGUGUUCGGGUUGUCAUGCCAAUGGCAUUGCCCGGUAGCUAAAUGCGGAAGAGAUAAGUGCUGAAAGCAUCUAAGCACGAAACUUGCCCCGAGAUGAGUUCUCCCUGACUCCUUGAGAGUCCUGAAGGAACGUUGAAGACGACGACGUUGAUAGGCCGGGUGUGUAAGCGCAGCGAUGCGUUGAGCUAACCGGUACUAAUGAACCGUGAGGCUUAACCUUACAACGCCGAAG